AUCCGGGUUGGCAGAGCGGCGGUCCGCGCUCUCCACCGAGGAGCAGAAGGAGUAGUACGAGCCGUCUGCCUCCACAUCACCUGACAAUGAAUCCCCCCGGCGUCGACCAAUGAGAUCACAUUUCCUGAUCCAAACCGAGAGGAGGACUUGCACUCAUAACCCGUGGGAAUUUCUGCCGGCUGAAAUGAGUGAUCAUCUUUCUGAGGCGGAGUGGUGAAUACAUUCAAAUAAACCUUGCGGAGAGCACAGCUGGGGUUUCAAGACGUCUACAACUUUUGUCCAGCGGUGUGAUCCCCCUGAUCGCUUGAAGCCUGACGUGUCAAUCUGCCAGUGAACCAAAAUAAUGGAAAAAAAAAGGUCAAUCGAGCGUAAAAUGAAGAAUUUUACACGAAGCAGGAACUGACAGUCUUUACAGCUGAUCACUGGACCUACCAGAUUCCUGGAGCAGCUCGAUCUCUAUUGCCUCUGAUAGCAUUCCUCUUUCUUCUAAUCGUUCCAGGAGUGACUUUAAAACUUGCUUCUGUCUCCUUUCUCGAUCCUUUGCAUUUCUGAGUUGUCGCUCCAGCUCCUCGAUCCGUGCUUGAGCGUCAGACAGCUUUUUUUUUACUUGAGUAGGAUCCAGAGCAUAGUGAUGAUCCUACAGAAGGAAAGAUUUGUUGACUAAAGCAACACUUUUGCUGUAAAUUGCUGUGAACUGUUUGUGUUUUAAGAAAGAAACUGUUUUAAAACUGAAUCGUUUUGGUUUAUGUUCUACUCUGCAAGUGAAUCAAAUAUAAUGCAAAUAAAAUAUGUUGACAUUUGUA
This is a long non-coding RNA of Poeciliopsis prolifica (blackstripe livebearer), 803 nucleotides long. RefSeq lists it as uncharacterized. The transcript is spliced from 3 exons. NCBI's taxonomy places the organism in Eukaryota, Metazoa, Chordata, Actinopteri, Cyprinodontiformes, Poeciliidae. The record is from RefSeq and is a predicted model, not a curated record.